CCUACGGGAGGCAGCAGUGGGGAAUAUUGGGCAAUGGAGGAAACUCUGACCCAGCGACGCCGCGUGCGGGAUGAAGGCCUUCGGGUUGUAAACCGCUUUCAGUAGGGAAGAAGCGAAAGUGACGGUACCUACAAAAGAAGCACCGGCUAACUAUGUGCCAGCAGCCGCGGUAAUACAUAGGGUGCAAGCGUUGUCCGGAAUUAUUGGGCGUAAAGAGCUCGUAGGUCGUUUGUUACGUCGGAUGUGAAAACCUGAGGCUCAACCUCAGGCCUGCAUUCGAUACGGGCAAACUAGAGUUUGGUAGGGGAGACUGGAAUUCCUGGUGUAGCGGUGGAAUGCGCAGAUAUCAGGAGGAACACCAAUGGCGAAGGCAGGUCUCUGGGCCAAUACUGACACUGAGGAGCGAAAGUCUGGGGAGCGAACAGGAUUAGAUACCCUGGUAGUCCAGACCGUAAACGGUGGGCACUAGUUGUGGGAACCUUCCACGGUUUCUGCGACGCAGCUAACGCAUUAAGUGCCCCGCCUGGGGAGUACGAUCGCAAGAUUAAACUUAAGAAAUUGACGG
This 565-nucleotide ribosomal RNA is filed under the name uncultured bacterium. RNAcentral describes it as "bacterial SSU rRNA". It matches the Rfam family "Bacterial small subunit ribosomal RNA", at positions 338 to 916 of the family's 1533-position model. The record is from RNAcentral.